This 494-nucleotide ribosomal RNA is filed under the name uncultured bacterium. RNAcentral's name for it is "partial 16S ribosomal RNA". It matches the Rfam family "Bacterial small subunit ribosomal RNA", at positions 28 to 507 of the family's 1533-position model. The record is from RNAcentral.
GACGAACGCUGGCGGCGUGCUUAACACAUGCAAGUCGAACGGAAAGGCCUGCUUUCCCUUGUGGAUUGCGGGUACUCGAGUGGCGAACGGGUGAGUAACACGUGAGUGAUCUGCCCCCAACUUGGGUAUAAGCCUGGGAAACUGGGUCUAAUUCCCGAUAGGACUGCAGGGUGGUGCCUGUGGUGGAAAACGAUUUUCUAGUGGUUGGGGAUGAGCUCGCGGCCUAUCAGCUUGUUGGUGGGGUAAUGGCCUACCAAGGCGGCGACGGGUAGCCGGCCUGAGAGGGUGGACGGCCACAUUGGGACUGAGAGACGGCCCAGACUCCUACGGGAGGCAGCAGUGGGGAAUAUUGCACAAUGGGCGGAAGCCUGAUGCAGCGACGCCGCGUGGGGGAUGACGGCCUUCGGGUUGUAAACUCCUUUCGACCGCGAGGAAGCCACCUGGUUGGAAGGGUGGUGACGGUAGUGGAAGAAGAAGCACCGGCUAACUACGUG